Small nuclear RNA from Nannospalax galili (Upper Galilee mountains blind mole rat), 108 nucleotides. The record is from Ensembl. NCBI's taxonomy places the organism in Eukaryota, Metazoa, Chordata, Mammalia, Rodentia, Spalacidae.
GUGCUCACUCUGACAGCACAUACACUAAAAUUAGAAUGAUACAGAGACGAUUAGCAUGGCCCCUAUUGCAAGAAUGACAUACAAAUUUGUGAAGUGUUCCCUAUUUUU